AACGAACGCUGGCGGCGUGCCUAACACAUGCAAGUCGAGCGGAGACAUACGACGGAUAGGAAGUUUUCGGAUGGAAUUGAAGAUGUAUGUUUUAGCGGCGGACGGGUGAGUAACGCGUGAGCAACCUGUCCUUCACAGGGGGAUAACACAGCGAAAGUUGUACUAAUACCGCAUAAGACCACAGCGGGACAUCCCGCAGGGGUCAAAGGAGCAAUCCGGUGAAGGGUGGGCUCGCGUCCGAUUAGAUAGUUGGUGAGGUAACGGCCCACCAAGUCAACGAUCGGUAGCCGACCUGAGAGGGUGAUCGGCCACAUUGGGACUGAGACACGGCCCAAACUCC
RNAcentral lists this ribosomal RNA (340 nucleotides) under uncultured Coriobacteriales bacterium. RNAcentral's name for it is "bacterial SSU rRNA". It matches the Rfam family "Bacterial small subunit ribosomal RNA", at positions 29 to 339 of the family's 1533-position model. Lineage: Bacteria; Bacillati; Actinomycetota; Coriobacteriia; Coriobacteriales. The record is from RNAcentral.